Musca vetustissima is the source of this 569-nucleotide long non-coding RNA. RefSeq lists it as uncharacterized. NCBI's taxonomy places the organism in Eukaryota, Metazoa, Arthropoda, Insecta, Diptera, Muscidae. The record is from RefSeq and is a predicted model, not a curated record. The transcript is spliced from 3 exons.
CGAUAAAAUGUUUUCGAUAAAAACCUUUUCUAUAGAAUAGUUGUUCGAUAACAACAUUUUCUAUAGAAAAGUUGUUCGAUAACAACAUUUUCUAUAGAAAAGUUUUUCGAUAACAACCUUUUCAAUAGAAAAGUUGUUCGAUAACAACCUUUUCAAUAGAAAAGUUGUUCGAUAGCACCCUUUUCUAUAGAAAAGAUGUUCGAUAGCACCCUUUUAUUAAGGAAUGCUGUUCGAUAACAACCUUUUCUUUAGAAAAGUUGUUCGAUAACAACCUUUUCUUUAGAAAAAUUGUCCGAUAACAACCUUUUCUUUAGAAAAUUGUUCGAUAACAAUCUUUUCUAUAGAAAAGUUUUCCGAUAAAAACCUUUUCUAUAGAAAAGUUGUUCGAUAACAACAUUUUCUAUAGAAAAGUUGUUCGAUAACAACCUUUUCUAUAGAAAAGUUGUUCGAUAACAUUAUUUUCUAUAGAAAAGUUGUUCGAUAACAACAUUAUCUAUAGAAAAGUUGUUCGAUUACAACAUUUCCUAUGGAAAGUUGUUCGAUAACAACGUUUUCUAUAGAAAAGUUGU